Molecule: long non-coding RNA, 1361 nt
Filed under: Homo sapiens (human)
Lineage: Eukaryota; Metazoa; Chordata; Mammalia; Primates; Hominidae
Description: non-protein coding lnc-GAB2-2:1
Source: RNAcentral
GUAGCGUGAUGACGUAAGCGGCGUUGGCGUGGUGUGGUAGGAGUGGUUGCGCGUGUUGCGGCCCGGGUUCUGUUCGUAGGUUUACAAUUGUCGCGGGUAGUGGGGCGCCCCAGCUGCCAACUGCACGUGGUUUCUUUCUGGCGUUUGCCUAGUGUCCUGUCCAUUCCGCCCCGUUGGGAAGUGGGAAGCGGAGAGGUUCUGUGGGGACAGAGCUGGGAGUCCUGAAGGAGAAAGCGCGCAGCCGAGGGGCUCUGGAGUGCCUUAGAGCAGAGCUGCGGCCGCGGAAGGGGAGCAGCUGAGAAAGGAGGGCCGCUGCAGGCGGGGUUCGAACCGUGGGGUCUGGGCUGCUCCCGCGGAGGGCCUGGGCGGACGCGGGAUGCUGGGGGUCCGCUGCCUGCUGCGGUCCGUGCGCUUCUGUUCCUCCGCCCCCUUCCCCAAGCACAAACCUUCAGCCAAACUGAGCGUGCGGGACGCUCUCGGGGCUCAGAACGCGAGUGGGGAGCGCAUUAAGAUCCAGGUAUCUGGACCUUCGUCGAUUUGGAUCUGUGCCACAUGGAGGUUUUGGGAUGGGAUUUGAACGCUACCUGCAGUGCAUCUUGGGUGUUGACAAUAUCAAAGAUGUUAUCCCUUUCCCAAGGUUUCCUCAUUCAUGCCUUUUAUAGCUGGAAGAUUGGUUAAGGAAAAGCACCCCCCAUGGCAGAGACACUGCACAUGAUUGUGCAUACAGCAGAAUGCAUGUUUGGAUUUUAGAAAUGCAGAUUUCAAUAUGUAAUUGUUGUGCCAUAAGAUAUCAUAGAAAAAAUAUAAGUGGUUGUGAUUUUCUUAGAAAGUUGAGGGUAUUUCACGUAAGGAUGAGCUCCCGCAAGAAGAGGUACUUAUAGCAAGGGGACUCUCAAAUCCAUUACCUCAAUUAAGAAAUGAAGAAAUUGAAUUAGUCUCAAAGUUUCUUUUAAACUCUAAAACAGAAUGAGAUAAUGUAUUUUACGUUGUCUAUAAUCAUUAAAUCACUCCCUGUGUAAUUUGUGAGAACCAUCUAGUAGCUCGAAAUAAAAUAAUGUUGCAUCUUUUCUCCCUUGCCAUAUACUUUGUGAUAAAUCCUUAUCUCAUUUUCAGUACUUCAUUAAACAUUGCAGAAAAAAAUAUUCCUUAAGGUCUUAAUUGAUUUAAAGAAGUAGCUAUUCUGAAUUGAAAUCUCCUUUCAUUGAACUGGAUGAAAAAAUCAUGUUUAAUAACUGUUGCUUUUCAAUUUUCAAAGCUGUUGAGAUAUUACAUUAAGUAUUUCAACUCUUUAAUCACUGUUGUUAUAAUUUGUUUAUAUUUGAUGUUUAUAAUUUGUCUAAUAAAAUAGAUUUUUUUAAUAG